Molecule: ribosomal RNA, 226 nt
Filed under: uncultured bacterium
Lineage: Bacteria
Description: partial 16S ribosomal RNA
Rfam family: Bacterial small subunit ribosomal RNA
Source: RNAcentral
UACGUAGGGCGCAAGCGUUGUCCGGAAUUAUUGGGCGUAAAGAGCUCGUAGGCGGUUUGUCGCGUCUGCUGUGAAAACUCGAGGCUCAACCUCGGGCUUGCAGUGGGUACGGGCAGACUAGAGUGCGGUAGGGGUGACUGGAAUUCCUGGUGUAGCGGUGAAAUGCGCAGAUAUCAGGAGGAACACCGAUGGCGAAGGCAGGUCUCUGGGCGAUUAAACUGACGCU